Molecule: long non-coding RNA, 635 nt
Filed under: Monodelphis domestica (gray short-tailed opossum)
Lineage: Eukaryota; Metazoa; Chordata; Mammalia; Didelphimorphia; Didelphidae
Description: lncRNA (ENSMODG00000048833.1)
Source: RNAcentral
UACUCCUUUAAGGAGAGGAUUGCACUUGUUCUCUUGCAUAUUAAUCCUCUCUAUCUAUUCUACCUCCUCAUUCUCUGAUUCAUAAUCCUAUAAUGAUCUAGUCCUUCUGUAUUCUCUCUCUUUCUUAUGGAAUUAAAACUUCUGAAGCAUCCACUCACAUUCUUCUACUGCUUUGUAGAGAUUGCCUCCAAAAGGACUCCCCAUUUCCCUUGUACCUCAGUGCCAAAAAAAAAAAUGCUACAAAUGUUGCACGUGACAGAAAACAUCUUGCUCUGUGGUAGAUAGUUCUAUACAUACCACAUGCCCCUCAUUAUACUGCUCACCACUGCUCUAUAGCCACCCUCUGGUUAUUUGAUUUCCCUAUUUGCCUCAAAAGUCUCCUUCCUGGAUACAUGUCCUCCUUCUUCCUCAGGUACAAGAUGACCCCAGAAUUCCCAGCUGCCCUCUCAACUCAAGAAAGAAGUAUCUUACUGGUCUCUCUGCUGUUGUUCUCCUUGGAAGAUGAACUCAAUUAUGCUUCCUGUAUUUUUUGUUUGAAGAUGUUCAAGAAGCAAAUCACCUUUUCAGGUAUGGUUUUCUUUCUAAGGAUGUUUUAAAUAUUUCUUUAUUAUUGAAUGACCAUCAUUUAAAAAAUU